This 630-nucleotide ribosomal RNA is filed under the name uncultured marine bacterium. RNAcentral describes it as "bacterial SSU rRNA". It matches the Rfam family "Bacterial small subunit ribosomal RNA", at positions 8 to 619 of the family's 1533-position model. The record is from RNAcentral.
AGAGUUUGAUCCUGGCUCAGGAUGAACGCUGGCGGCGUGCCUAAUACAUGCAAGUCGAGCGAACUGAUUAGAAGCUUGCUUCUAUGACGUUAGGGGCGGACGGGUGAGUAACACGUGGGCAACCUGCCUGUAAGACUGGGAUAACUUCGGGAAACCGAAGCUAAUACCGGAUAGGAUCUUCUCCUUCAUGGGAGAUGAUUGAAAGAUGGUUUCGGCUAUCACUUACAGAUGGGCCCGCGGUGCAUUAGCUAGUUGGUGAGGUAACGGCUCACCAAGGCAACGAUGCAUAGCCGACCUGAGAGGGUGAUCGGCCACACUGGGAGUGAGACACGGCCCAGACUCCUACGGGAGGCAGCAGUAGGGAAUCUUCUGCAAUGGACGAAAGUCUGACGGAGCAACGCCGCGUGAGUGAUGAAGGCUUUCGGGUCGUAAAACUCUGUUGUUAGGGAAGAACAAGUACGAGAGUAACUGCUCGCACCUUGACGGUACCUAACCAGAAAGCCACGGCUAACUACGUGCCAGCAGCCGCGGUAAUACGUAGGUGGCAAGCGUUAUCCGGAAUUAUUGGGCGUAAAGCGCGCGCAGGCGGUUUCUUAAGUCUGAUGUGAAAGCCCACGGCUCAACCGUGGA